GACGAACGCUGGCGGCGUGCCUAAUACAUGCAAGUAGAACGCUGAAGCUUGGUGCUUGCACCGAGCGGAUGAGCUGCGAACGGGUGAGUAACGCGUAGGUAACCUGCCUGGUAGCGGGGGAUAACUAUUGGAAACGAUAGCUAAUACCGCAUAAGAGUAGAUGUUGCAUGACAUUUGCUUAAAAGGUGCAAUUGCAUCACUACCAGAUGGACCUGCGUUGUAUUAGCUAGUUGGUGAGGUAACGGCUCACCAAGGCAACGAUACAUAGCCGACCUGAGAGGGUGAUCGGCCACACUGGGACUGAGACACGGCCCAGACUCCUACGGGAGGCAGCAGUAGGGAAUCUUCGGCAAUGGACGGAAGUCUGACCGAGCAACGCCGCGUGAGUGAAGAAGGUUUUCGGAUCGUAAAGCUCUGUUGUAAGAGAAGAACGAGUGUGAGAGUGGAAAGUUCACACUGUGACGGUAUCUUACCAGAAAGGGACGGCUAACUACGUG
RNAcentral lists this ribosomal RNA (497 nucleotides) under uncultured bacterium. Its description in RNAcentral is "partial 16S ribosomal RNA". It matches the Rfam family "Bacterial small subunit ribosomal RNA", at positions 28 to 507 of the family's 1533-position model. The record is from RNAcentral.